CACUUCUGCAGUCGACGAACUCUGGUAUUGAUUGGUGCUUGCAUCAUGAUUUACAUUUGAGUGAGUGGCGAACUGGUGAGUAACACGUGGGAAACCUGCCCAGAAGCGGGGGAUAACACCUGGAAACAGAUGCUAAUACCGCAUAACAACUUGGACCGCAUGGUCCGAGUUUGAAAGAUGGCUUCGGCUAUCACUUUUGGAUGGUCCCGCGGCGUAUUAGCUAGAUGGUGGGGUAACGGCUCACCAUGGCAAUGAUACGUAGCCGACCUGAGAGGGUAAUCGGCCACAUUGGGACUGAGACACGGCCCAAACUCCUACGGGAGGCAGCAGUAGGGAAUCUUCCACAAUGGACGAAAGUCUGAUGGAGCAACGCCGCGUGAGUGAAGAAGGGUUUCGGCUCGUAAAACUCUGUUGUUAAAGAAGAACAUAUCUGAGAGUAACUGUUCAGGUAUUGACGGUAUUUAACCAGAAAGCCACGGCUAACUACGUGCCAGCAGCCGCGGUAAUACGUAGGUGGCAAGCGUUGUCCGGAUUUAUUGGGCGUAAAGCGAGCGCAGGCGGUUUUUUAAGUCUGAUGUGAAAGCCUUCGGCUCAACCGAAGAAGUGCAUCGGAAACUGGGAAACUUGAGUGCAGAAGAGGACAGUGGAACUCCAUGUGUAGCGGUGAAAUGCGUAGAUAUAUGGAAGAACACCAGUGGCGAAGGCGGCUGUCUGGUCUGUAACUGACGCUGAGGCUCGAAAGUAUGGGUAGCAAACAGGAUUAGAUACCCUGGUAGUCCAUACCGUAAACGAUGAAUGCUAAGUGUUGGAGGGUUUCCGCCCUUCAGUGCUGCAGCUAACGCAUUAAGCAUUCCGCCUGGGGAGUACGGCCGCAAGGCUGAAACUCAAAGGAAUUGACGGGGGCCCGCACAAGCGGUGGAGCAUGUGGUUUAAUUCGAAGCUACGCGAAGAACCUUACCAGGUCUUGACAUACUAUGCAAAUCUAAGAGAUUAGACGUUCCCUUCGGGGACAUGGAUACAGGUGGUGCAUGGUUGUCGUCAGCUCGUGUCGUGAGAUGUUGGGUUAAGUCCCGCAACGAGCGCAACCCUUAUUAUCAGUUGCCAGCAUUAAGUUGGGCACUCUGGUGAGACUGCCGGUGACAAACCGGAGGAAGGUGGGGAUGACGUCAAAUCAUCAUGCCCCUUAUGACCUGGGCUACACACGUGCUACAAUGGAUGGUACAACGAGUUGCGAACUCGCGAGAGUAAGCUAAUCUCUUAAAGCCAUUCUCAGUUCGGAUUGUAGGCUGCAACUCGCCUACAUGAAGUCGGAAUCGCUAGUAAUCGCGGAUCAGCAUGCCGCGGUGAAUACGUUCCCGGGCCUUGUACACACCGCCCGUCACACCAUGAGAGUUUGUAACACCCAAAGUCGGUGGGGUAACCUUUUAGGAACCAGCCGCCUUGCC
This 1445-nucleotide ribosomal RNA is filed under the name Lactiplantibacillus plantarum. RNAcentral describes it as "bacterial SSU rRNA". It matches the Rfam family "Bacterial small subunit ribosomal RNA". Lineage: Bacteria; Bacillati; Bacillota; Bacilli; Lactobacillales; Lactobacillaceae. The record is from RNAcentral.